CCUACGGGAGGCAGCAGUGAGGAAUAUUGGUCAAUGGACGAGAGUCUGAACCAGCCAAGUAGCGUGAAGGAUGACUGCCCUAUGGGUUGUAAACUUCUUUUAUAUGGGAAUAAAACGUUCCACGUGUGGGAUUUUGUAUGUACCAUAUGAAUAAGGAUCGGCUAACUCCGUGCCAGCAGCCGCGGUAAUACGGAGGAUCCGAGCGUUAUCCGGAUUUAUUGGGGUUAAAGGGUGCGAAGGCGGAAGAUCAAGUCAGCGGUAAAAUUGAGGGGCUCAACCUCUUCGAGCCGUUGAAACUGGUUUUCUUGAGUGAGUGAGAAGUAUGCGGAAUGCGUGGUGUAGCGGUGAAAUGCAUAGAUAUCACGCAGAACCCCGAUUGCGAAGGCAGCAUGCCGGCUUCCGACUGACGCUGAAGCACGAAAGCGUGGGGAUCGAACAGGAUUAGAUACCCGUGUAGUC
This 459-nucleotide ribosomal RNA is filed under the name uncultured bacterium. Its description in RNAcentral is "partial 16S ribosomal RNA". It matches the Rfam family "Bacterial small subunit ribosomal RNA", at positions 338 to 795 of the family's 1533-position model. The record is from RNAcentral.